CAACUUGAAAAAAAGUUUGGGGUGAGGGUUAUUGUAAAGGCCAAUGGAGGGCUCCUCUUCUCAACACUUACAUUCUGAUAAACCGCCUUCCGGCGCUUCCAAGUUCCUCUUCAAUCUCUCUUCUCGCGGCCACCUCUCCUCCACGGUCAUAUCCUCCAAUCUGGGGGGGAUGCGAGUUUAUAUUUGUGAGAACGACACUUCUCCGCCAGGAGCCAGCAGAUACAGACAAACCAGCAGAAAAUACUUAUUAGAUCACUCAUGCUUAAUGAUAAGAAUGGUGAUUCUUGUUCAAAGGUUGUGAAAGCUGUAGCUGAGGGUCCUAGAAAGAGGGCUGCUGAUGGAUAGCAGGGCUUCUGCAAAGAAAGCCAAAACACAAGAGGGAUAAAGCAAUCGUGCAGCUGAGUACCAUAGUUUAACUGUAGAGAG
This is a long non-coding RNA of Hibiscus syriacus, 426 nucleotides long. RefSeq lists it as uncharacterized. The record is from RefSeq and is a predicted model, not a curated record. Lineage: Eukaryota; Viridiplantae; Streptophyta; Magnoliopsida; Malvales; Malvaceae. The transcript is spliced from 5 exons.